AUACAACUGACGAGUCACAAAUAGGACGAAACGAGCGUUCUACAU
Molecule: non-coding RNA, 45 nt
Filed under: Schistosoma mansoni
Lineage: Eukaryota; Metazoa; Platyhelminthes; Trematoda; Strigeidida; Schistosomatidae
Source: RNAcentral